CGCUCGGAUCGGAGAACCGACAAACUUACUCGCAGUCACAAUUAAAACAAACACAAUUUAUAAAGGAGGAGAUGCCUGCACUUUCGCUGUAUUGCCAACAUCCUGCUAAUACAGUAUCUCCUCUGGUGUUACAUGGAAGAAUGAAAGCCUUAUGGGACCAACACGAGGAUAUAGGAAGGAACAAACUGCAACAACACAUCACCUGCCUGUCACAAAAAUAAGGUUUAUCUGGAAAAAAAACUGAGUCAAUGCAUUGUUUGUGGACUGAAGGAGAUGUAGGCUAUAAAGUAGUCCUGAAGUCGCAGAGGCAGAACUUUUCCUUUAUGUCGCUGCACUGUCAUCAUACUGCCCCCCAGUUACAGAAAUGGCUCAUUGUGAUGGGACAGAUUGUUCAUGAAUAUUGAAUCGAUCCUUUUGGCUUUUAUAAAUUAGAAAUCGCUCUUGCCACACUCAUGUGAGCGUCUUGUUGGAUGACUUGGAGGGAUAGCGCUGCAAAAUGGCAUGCGGGACUCUGCCAUGUCGGGGCAGGGAAGACAAACAGACGGUGUGUUUGAGAAAAUUGGAUACACAUUUAAAGUUUAAAUGCUGAGUGACGUCCAUAGUUAACAUCUCAUGUGACUCCCAGCAGGAGAGUUCUGCUUCUGUGUUGGUUUGGGUGUAAUUUAGACGUCAGUACGUGUUGGGCUAAAUGAAGAGAGUUCCUGGAACGUGGUUCAUGGCUUUAUGUCUUUGUACAUGUGUGAAUUUUGGUCUUCAUGAAUUGGUGUCAUUCCAGAUGGAUACCCUCAGGACAGAAAAAAGAGAAAAUAUAUGUUUGAUUAUUUCUUAAUCUCAAACAUCUGGCCAAAGAUUUAUGACAGAAAUUGUGCACAAAUGAUUCUAUCCAAUCCUCAGUAG
Molecule: long non-coding RNA, 897 nt
Organism: Sinocyclocheilus rhinocerous
Lineage: Eukaryota; Metazoa; Chordata; Actinopteri; Cypriniformes; Cyprinidae
Exons: 3
Source: RefSeq, a predicted model, not a curated record